UACAGAGGCCCCAAGCAUUAUCCGGAAUCACUGGGCGUAAAGGGUGUCAAGGCGGUUUUGUUAGUCGUUUGUAAAAUCCAGGAGCUCAACUUCUGGCCCGCAAGCGAAACGGCAAGACUUGAGGUUGGGAGAGGUGCGUGGAACUCACGGUGUAGGGGUGAAAUCCGUUGAUAUCGUGGGGAACACCAAAGGCGAAGGCAGCGCACUGGCCCAAAUCUGACGCUCACACACGAAAGCCAGGGUAGCGAAUGGG
This 253-nucleotide ribosomal RNA is filed under the name uncultured bacterium. RNAcentral's name for it is "partial 16S ribosomal RNA". It matches the Rfam family "Bacterial small subunit ribosomal RNA", at positions 524 to 776 of the family's 1533-position model. The record is from RNAcentral.